GGGCUCGUGGUCUAGGGGUUAUGACGCCACGCUUACAACGUGGAGGUCGGCGGUUCAAAUCCGCCCGAGCCCA
Molecule: transfer RNA, 73 nt
Filed under: Candidatus Hydrothermarchaeota archaeon
Lineage: Archaea; Methanobacteriati; Candidatus Hydrothermarchaeota
Description: tRNA-Val
Rfam family: tRNA
About the family: Transfer RNA (tRNA) molecules are approximately 80 nucleotides in length. Their secondary structure includes four short double-helical elements and three loops (D, anti-codon, and T loops).
Source: RNAcentral